GACGAACGCUGGCGGCGUGCUUAACACAUGCAAGUCGAACGGAAAGGCCCUGCUUUUGUGGGGUGCUCGAGUGGCGAACGGGUGAGUAACACGUGAGUAACCUGCCCUUGACUUUGGGAUAACUUCAGGAAACUGGGGCUAAUACCGGAUAGGAGCUCCUGCUGCAUGGUGGGGGUUGGAAAGUUUCGGCGGUUGGGGAUGGACUCGCGGCUUAUCAGCUUGUUGGUUGGGUAGUGGCUUACCAAGGCUUUGACGGGUAGCCGGCCUGAGAGGGUGACCGGCCACAUUGGGACUGAGAUACGGCCCAGACUCCUACGGGAGGCAGCAGUGGGGAAUAUUGCACAAUGGGCGGAAGCCUGAUGCAGCAACGCCGCGUGCGGGAUGACGGCCUUCGGGUUGUAAACCGCUUUCGCCUGUGACGAAGCGUGAGUGACGGUAAUGGGUAAAGAAGCAACGGCUAACUACGUG
Molecule: ribosomal RNA, 468 nt
Filed under: uncultured bacterium
Lineage: Bacteria
Description: partial 16S ribosomal RNA
Rfam family: Bacterial small subunit ribosomal RNA
Source: RNAcentral